UCUGCAAGAGGAAAGUGACAGGCCCUUUGCUGAGAACCUACUGAGUCCUAACUUGCUCAAGGCCAUGCAGCUAAAAAAGUGCCUGAGUUGGGAUUCAAAUCCAUUCAUUCAGUCAAUCAUUCAUUAAGCAUAUUUUUAAAUUUUUUUUAAAGAUUAUUUUGAUAUGGAGACAAACUAGAAUCCUUCAGUCCCUCGAUACUCAUGUUCCCAAGGGAGCGAAUGGACAUGUGAACCAUCACAACAGUCAGGUGUUGUGUGAUGGACGCUGCAUAGGGCAUCAUGGGUGAGCCUCCUCCAGAAGCACUGCCUCAUGAGAUGAGGCCUCUUUAAUAUGUCCCCAGACUCUCCAGUGUGGGCCACCCGACUGCACUGCAGCAUUCUGAGAAUUACUGGAUCAUUAUAAAGUGACUUGCAUCUCUUGGUACAUUUGGGCGGCCUAAAAUGUACAGGAAUCAUCAUUUUUCUUUCCCAGUUCAACAGAGGAUGAUUUAAAAAUAUGCUUGACUUGAAGAAUAAGGAUAAAAAAAAUAAAUAAAUAAACGUGGGAGCCCAAGGUAAAAAUGGAAAACAGAUGAAAUCCAAAGUAUUUUCAAGGUGUCUUUUUCCUCUGUGUUUCUAUUUUGCAGGUUUUAAAAGCAGAAUUAAAGUGUAAAGCAGAGGGAAAUUUCUCUGAUGCGGCAUUUACAUAAGAAACACAUUCAGAAAAAGAGGCUGUGAUUCUGAAAGUGUCCUUAUUAUACUGCACUAAAAAUUUCCCUGGGGAUGGGGGAGGUUUAAAUUAGUUGAAGAGAGGAGGAAAUAAACCCCUCUCUUCAAAAUGUGAGUCUCUCCCAAACCAAAAAUUCCACCUUAGGAAAUGGCCACAUGGUGAUCAAGAGCAGACAGAGCCCUCA
RNAcentral lists this long non-coding RNA (893 nucleotides) under Marmota monax (woodchuck). Lineage: Eukaryota; Metazoa; Chordata; Mammalia; Rodentia; Sciuridae. The record is from RNAcentral.